AAUUCUCAACCUAACCAGCUUUUGUGAGCUUGGAUAGGCUUGGAUGUGGGGGUUUUGCGGGCUUCACUUUGAAGUCAGCUCCCCUUAAAUGCAUUAGUGGAACCCUUUGUUGACUUGCUCCUGGUGUGAUAAUUAUCUACAUCGCGUGCAGUCGGCUGUCUAAUGGGCCUUUCUGCUUCUAACUCGUAUCAUCCUUUUUAUAAGGAGGAACGCUUUGACCAU
This 222-nucleotide unclassified non-coding RNA is filed under the name Termitomyces sp. Group3. RNAcentral's name for it is "ITS2". The record is from RNAcentral. Lineage: Eukaryota; Fungi; Basidiomycota; Agaricomycetes; Agaricales; Lyophyllaceae.